Non-coding RNA from Podarcis lilfordi (Lilford's wall lizard), 75 nucleotides. The record is from the annotation of a GenBank genome assembly. NCBI's taxonomy places the organism in Eukaryota, Metazoa, Chordata, Lepidosauria, Squamata, Lacertidae.
UGGGAUAGCUCAGUUGGUAAAAGCACGAGGCUAUUAAUCUCAGGUUCGUGGGUUCGAUCCCCACGAGGGGGUGAA